CACAGUUUAAAUUUUCAGUGUUAAAAAAUUCAGCAUAUAAAAAAUUCAACUUUUCAAAAUUCGAAUGCAAUAUUUUCAUUGUCCUCCAAUUCAACUUGCUCAAAUUCGCUGUCUCAAAUUCAACGUCUAAAAAUUCGCUGCAAAAAUGGCGAGGUUACUUCAGGUCACAGACAUUAGCAAUGGAUGUCAGAUUCCAGGACCCAGCUGAUCACGUGACACAACCGUCAUAUUGAAGAAAUACCAGCAUCGCCGAGGCUGGCGACCAUGGAGGCGAAUGAAAACCCAACGGUGAGUUUAAUGCUUUCAUAUUUCUGUAUUAUAUUUUAUUUUGCGCAUGAAGUUUGAUACAUUAUCUUAAAUCUUGAUUUAAAACACGGGUUGGGCCGUUGUUAAUCUUACACCAUGUAGUGCUAGCAUAUUACGUCUUGCUACCUCCUAGCCCCCCCAGCCCCUCACCCAAUUUACCCCGUUUUAUUUCAAAAAGAAAUACCACUUGCGCCAAGUCUAGAAUCUUGAAAGAGAACUGAUGGGUGGCGACUUUCUGGGUUGUUUGAUGUUGUCUUAGGUGAGACUGAGACAGGCAGUCUUAGUAAAGUGUAAUUUUUCAGGAGAUGCUACCGCUAAUGUACUAAGCUAAUAUGGCUGCCUUGUAUGCUUCAAGGAGGGGCUGUGAACACUACCGACAUUAAUUAUAACCACAACCCCAUUCUGUUCAGCUACUGUAUUGUUCAGGUGACUUCAUUUAUGAAUUAAUUAAGAAAUUUAUUGUCAUUACAACAUCAUCCAAAAUACUGCUUCUCUUAUCUGACAAGUGUUGAUAUACAAUAUUAAUUUACAUUAUUUUCUUUCUUGCUUUUUUUUCCCUCUGAGUCAUUUGUGAUGUCUUUUGCAGCUCGAAGGAGAAUCCAGGCUCUUUGAUACUCAAAUGGAAAGAGUACAGAGCUUGGCAUAUUCAUGGGACCUUCUUUGCCCCACAGAGAACAAUAGGAAGUGGCUUUUUGAGAAGCUGUUACUUCAUGCAGUUCUUGGACGUGUCGCAAGACAAAUAAAGCAGCUUAGACGAGGCUUGAAAGAAAUCCCAAUAUGGUCACUGGUAACUCGGCGGCCUGAUGCUGUACCGCUGCUUUUUCCACUGGAGGAAGCCUCCCUGUGUCCAGAGGUAUAUUUAAAUAACUGGAAUUAUGGUGCUGCAUCUGUUAUUGUUUUAAUGAAAUGCCUUUUAUAUAAAACAUUUUCUUUGCAAACUUCUGUUAAACACAACGCAAUUAGUUUUUUCUACUAAACUUAAGUGGUACUUCAGCAUAUCACUUGGCCAGAAACAGAUGACGGAAGUGAUGAAGAUGACGACUGCUCAAAGGAAACCAGAUGCCGCAUUUCAGGAUAUCUGAAACAGUUAAUUGCAAAUGCCACACCACCUGAACUGAAAGACAUGAUGAAAUUCUGGACCGGAUGGGAAAAUCUGCCAUCAAGUCUGUCUGUGGAGAUAGUUCAUGGAAACUACCCAACAGCUGCCACUUGCUACGAAACGCUAAGAAUUCCUUGUCACUACAGGAGUUACAAAUCUUUCAGUGAUGAGUUUUUAGCUUGCAUUUCCUCUACGCAAACUGGCUUUGGCUUGCUUUGAAUGAUCGACCUGUAAAAAAAAAAAAAAUCUACAUUUAAGCUGUAGCAGUUCUGUUUGU
Xiphophorus hellerii (green swordtail) is the source of this 1682-nucleotide long non-coding RNA. RefSeq lists it as uncharacterized. The record is from RefSeq and is a predicted model, not a curated record. NCBI's taxonomy places the organism in Eukaryota, Metazoa, Chordata, Actinopteri, Cyprinodontiformes, Poeciliidae. The transcript is spliced from 3 exons.